CAAUAGCGUAUAUUAAAGUUGUUGCAGUUAAAAAGCUCGUAGUUGGAUUUCUGGUGGGAGUGUUCUGGUCCGCUUCGAAAGAGGUGUGUACUUUAGUGACAUCUGCCAUCCUUGGGGAGAACUGCGCUGGCAUUAGUUUGUCGGUGUAGGGAACCCCAUCGUUUACUGUGAAAAAAUUAGAGUGUUUAAAGCAGGCUUACGCCUUUGAAUACAUUAGCAUGGAAUAAUAAGAUAGGACCUUUGGUGGCUAUUUUGUUGGUUUGAACGCCAAGGUAAUGAUUAAUAGGGAUAGUUGGGGGUAUUCAUAUUUAAUUGUCAGAGGUGAAAUUCUUGGAUUUCUGAAAGAUGAACUACUGCGAAAGCAUUUACCAAGGAUGUUUUCAUUAA
This 387-nucleotide ribosomal RNA is filed under the name uncultured eukaryote. RNAcentral's name for it is "partial 18S ribosomal RNA". It matches the Rfam family "Eukaryotic small subunit ribosomal RNA", at positions 592 to 976 of the family's 1831-position model. The record is from RNAcentral.